This is a long non-coding RNA of Drosophila eugracilis, 348 nucleotides long. RefSeq lists it as uncharacterized. The transcript is spliced from 3 exons. The record is from RefSeq and is a predicted model, not a curated record. Lineage: Eukaryota; Metazoa; Arthropoda; Insecta; Diptera; Drosophilidae.
AGCCUACUCCUACUAAUAAAAGUGGUUCAGCUUGAUUGAUACGGAGCGGAAUAGAAUCUAGUGCCACCAACAUAUUGUUUGUAUAAGAUAUGGUGGUUUAAUGGCGUUUAGCGGAAAGUGGAACAAAAAUAAACUUUAACGGCUUAAAUCUGAGAAGCCAAGAGUAUGCAAUUCAUAUUGACGGAUAUUUCUAUAUGGAUACAAGACAUUUGAUUUGCUGACUGCAGAAGACAAAGGAACUACUAAAAUUAAUAAGCAUGUUUUAGCAAAUCACGGUUUAAUAGCGGUUAAUGGAAAGGGAAAGUAAGGAUAACGUCAAUUGUCUUAUAUUGAAUACCGUGGAAAAAG